GGUCACGGUCAGGCUGAGUAAGUGUAUAGGCUGAGCUUGUGCGAGGCUUAAUCCGAAUCAGUGCUUUUGCUGCCUGCUGUUAGGGCGGUUGAGGCUGUGCUGACUCGCAUGUAGAGAGCAUUGAAGGAAAUCGGUGCUUCUGUACGUCAGGGUUGAUUGUCACCCGCUGUUGUACUCACGGUCUUAUGCAUGACGUAUCCCUGCAGACAUGUCUGUGAGUGUGAGGGAGAGAGCUAGAAAUGAGACUCCAGCCCAGCAGCUGAAUUAACACACUGAGUCGGUGCUCUGAUGAGGUGCUCCUGAAUGGGGCUGAUGGAAGCUGAAAUUGGGUUCCUCGUCUCUUCCUCACGUAGCUCACCUCAAUGAAACCUCUGUAUCUGGUUCACUGCCUCUGUUUCCUGUGCAGGUUUCCCAAAGUUUUAGGAUGCUCAGACUGUGGGAGUGGGGGUCAUACAAAGAGGGUAUCGAAGGAUGCAUGCUAAUGGUAUGCUUUUCUAUGGGACUAAAGAGCCGAAGUAUAACUUCUUGUUUUUAGGAUGGUGAAGUGAUGAAAUAAAUUCUCUAGAGAGAAUUUGAGACAGGUGGUUAACUAAAACAUAUAGUCUUAGUGCACUACUAAGUCAAAGGUCCAUGAUGCAUUUUAAAUGAAUAAAUGGGGAUUUUCAUAGAAUCAUGGAAUCACCAAGGUUGGAAAAGACCUACACCAUCGUUCAGUCCAACCAUCCACCUAUCACCAACAGUUCUUAUUAAACCAUGUCGGUGUUUCAGUAAACAUCUGUUUGAUUCUUGAAUCAUAGAAUCAUAGAAUAUCUUGAGUUGGAAGGGACACACAAGGAUCACCAACUCCUGGCUCCACACAGCGCCAUGCAAAAAUGAGUCCAUGUGUCUGGCAUCAUUGUCCAGAUGCUUCUUGAACUUUGGCAAGCUUGGUUCUGGGAGGUUAUAUCUAAUUCUAUGACAAGAAGUUAGAAGGUCUUCUGAUAAAUUGGAAAUUUGAUAAAUUGGGGUUCACUGACCAAUCAUAGGCACAGCUAAAGGAUGGGAAGCUUUGCCUCCUUGUUGACUUAGCAAAGCAAAAAACAACAUAAGGGUAUAAUUCAGUCACAAUCUGCGUACUUAUGAGAUCACAUUCCUGUGAUUGUGAUUUAGAACUAAUGUAAUUGACGUUACCUGGAAACAAUAUUUAACAUGCAGGUAGCUUCUACAACUAUCUACUGAAGAGACACAGUUAAUUCUUCACUAUUGUGGUGUACCUAAUCUAAACAGCAUUUCUUUUUCUCCUGCCUCAAAGAGUUGUUCGUGUUUAAGCAGAGAAUAUUUGCAAGAUCAAAACUUCUUCAUCACCAGAAGUUCCAGUUAGUUCUUGUGGAGAUGGCUUGGAGAGCCUCAGAAAGAGGAGUAUGAUUCAAGGUGGGAGGGGGACGUGAGGAGAGAUGCACGUGAGGUGGCAUUUUUCAGCAGCAGUGAUUUGAGAAAGAUUGCUGAUGGCCUUCUUCCUCCACGCUGGAAGAAGCAGGAUGAGAAGUGUAAGGACUUGUGCUACUCCUGAAUAAUACAAAGAGAUCUCCCGAAGUCUAGUGACAGAUUUAUUUCCUCCUCCUUCCUGAGAUGGACCUGCUCUAAGCUUCAUGUGCAGUUGAAGUGGAGAAGUACUGGUUAACUGUUUUGCUAAUAUUCCUGCGUUCAGUGUUGACAGGACUUGAUGCUGUCUUACGUUCUAGAAGGAUAAUGGCUCAACAAACAAUCCUGUUGUCACAGAGGCAUAAAUAGUUCAGCAAGAAAUGUAACAAAGACGCUCUGAUACUGCAGAAACAAUAAGCAGCAGGGACAGUAGAACGUCUGAGGAAGAAAUAUCUUCUGUUGAGCCAAGCACCACCUGGAGAAUUAAAGAAAAUGUUUUAAAUUGAGAAAUGGCUUUUAAGUAGAUUUUCUGUGUUGUUGCUGCAGGUCUUGGGAGAAUGAAGAUCAUUGACUGAUGUGUUCUAUUAAUGUUCCUCAGUGUUGUCGAGGAACAUCUGUCCUGUGGUUUGACCAAGCGUUUAUAUCGAUUUUAAUUGCUUGAUCUGAAAGAAAAUGUUCCCGGUACAAAUUGGGGUAUUUAGCCUUUUUCCAGCAUGGUAGCCUCUGUGUGGUGAUGUUUUUUGAUUGGAGGGCUGAUACAUAAUAUCUGCAUCUUCUACUGAGCAGUCAAAGCACUGUACGUCAGGUUUAACUGAAGGAAGUUCUACCAUUAAUUUUCUGUUAUAUCCCUGUAGUGGAGUUUGCCGUUUCCAUUUUAUGGCUGGCUCUUUAUGCUGUGCCUCUGGAACCCAGUCUUACAGCCCAAAGAGAAAGAAAAAUCCAUGUAUUGUUCCAGUUGUCUUGACUGUUGCACAGUCAAUUCUGGCAAAGUGGUAUUAGGGUAAACCACUUCAGCCAGUGUAGUGAGAUCUGCAGGUGAUGUGCAAACUGCAGUUCUUUGUCACUUAGUCUCUUCCUCAGCAUGUACUAAUUAAAAAAAAAAAAAAGCAAUUCCACAAGCAUUGAAACUUCCUUCAUUGUAAGCUCAUGUCAGAGAUGCAUUACCUUUCUACACUUAUAGGUUAUCUGCCUUUCUGUCACAGUGCCUAAUGCAAGGUCAAAACUGAAAGAACAGAGGAAAAUGUAGUAAAACCUAGUACCACCCACCAAAGUGGUACAACCUGGUGCACAUAUACAGGAUUCUUUGCAAUCCUUACUCAGAUUCCUUACUUUUGUUUCCAUUCUUUAUACUUAUACUUUACUUAUGUGACCAGUUAAGUUAUAAAGCCAAGUGCAGCAUUUUCUUAACAGUGUUCUGUCUGGCAACACAGGAACAAAAAUUACAUUCUGAAUUUAGAUAUCUUUGGUGUAGUAUUGCUUUUCAUUUUUUUCUAGAGGAUAUUACCAGUUCUGAAUUAAGAGCAAAGUUAUGUACGUUAAAAAAUACUCAGUAUUUUAUAUGAUGGAAGUUUACUAGAAGAAGUUAAGUAAGCAGAUUGGAAACUACUAAAACAAAGCAGGGUAAUGCACCAGUAACGUGAGAAUCUUUAAUUGGAUCACAGCUUGUUUGUCCUGAUCUGCUAGAUCUGCAGCAAGCUUCCCUUACUCUGAGCUCAUCUGCAUACAGUCUCUGAGCACGUCUUCUUGGGGAUGUCAUGUCCUCCCUUUCUGUGGGCAUUCUGACUGUGGAAAAACAGUGGUUGUUUCUUAAGCAUAGGCAUGGCAUUAAGACAAACUAUGUGAAUGAAUCCAGCUGUAGCAUUUCAUGCUUCUUUUGCUGGCAUCAACAACAGGACUAGAUGUAUUGGUAGUCCUAGGUGGAAGAGUUGCUUAAGUAUCUACAGAGUAGAUGCAGAUGAUUGUAUUAUGCCUCUGGAGGCUGGAGAAAGAGUUGGAUUUUGUUAUAAUCCUGGUGUUCAAUGACUGAUGAACAUUUUGUUAUAGAUUCCUUGCGGUGUUCAUGUACCAGCAAAGGAAAACAUCACCAUUGUCCAAACAGCACAGAGAAUCAGAAGCUUAAUACUAAAAUUGCACUGAUAGCAGUUGAGUUGGCACAGAAAUUUGUAUUUUUAUGUUCAAUAAAUCAUCUGGUGAGUGUCAAUGACUGUAUUGGGCUUUAAUGAGCUUAGCAAUAGGGUAACUGAGUAUUCAGUGAAAUGCUAGGUAGCUCACGUAAGUACACACAGAAUUUGAACAGCAUAAAAUAUGUUCAAAAUAAGAAUACUUUCCCCCCCCCCCCACUCCCCCGAAAUUUAGGAAUAUCAAGUUGUUUAAUGUGUAUGAAAACUGUAAUCCAGUGAAACUCAGGGUUGUACUGAAAUUGCUAUAUUACGUUUAUUUUUCUGCUGCUGUAUUUGUAAUUUUAUUUCAGCUUCAAUAAAAUGGUAUCGUGCCUUUUA
Long non-coding RNA from Gallus gallus (chicken), 3899 nucleotides. RefSeq lists it as uncharacterized. NCBI's taxonomy places the organism in Eukaryota, Metazoa, Chordata, Aves, Galliformes, Phasianidae. The transcript is spliced from 2 exons. The record is from RefSeq and is a predicted model, not a curated record.